UGCCACUCCCUUUUCCCAGCCUGGGGUGGUGGUGUGAGAGCGAGUCCGAGCUUCCUGGGUGAUCCUCUUAAGUUUGUAGGGAUCCCCAAUUCCAGAGGGCAAAUACAGCAAGAGGAAAGGACGGUUCAAAAGGUCGGACGGGAGCACAUCCUCGGAUACAACAUCCAACAGCUUUGUGCGCCAGGGCUCAGCGGAGUCCUACACCAGCCGUCCGUCGGACUCUGAUGUGUCUCUGGAAGAGGACCGAGAAGCCUUAAGGAAGGAGGCAGAGCCCCAGGCAUUAGCCCAGCUUGAGAAAGCCAAG
Long non-coding RNA from Myotis lucifugus (little brown bat), 304 nucleotides. RefSeq lists it as uncharacterized. NCBI's taxonomy places the organism in Eukaryota, Metazoa, Chordata, Mammalia, Chiroptera, Vespertilionidae. The record is from RefSeq and is a predicted model, not a curated record. The transcript has 3 exons.